AGCUAAUACGGGAUGAUCAUUUUCAAUCGCAUGAUUGAAAUGUUAAAAGUGGGGAGUAAGUCCUCACACUACGAGAUGGGCCCGCGGCGCAUUAGCUAGUUGGUAAGGUAAUGGCUUACCAAGGCAACGAUGCGUAGCCGACCUGAGAGGGUGAUCGGCCACACUGGAACUGAGACACGGUCCAGACUCCUACGGGAGGCAGCAGUAGGGAAUCAUCCGCAAUGGGCGAAAGCCUGACGGUGCAACGCCGCGUGAACGAUGAAGGUUUUCGGAUCGUAAAGUUCUGUUAUGAGGGAAGAACAAGUGCCGUUCGAAUAGGGCGGCACCUUGACGGUACCUCACGAGAAAGCCCCGGCUAACUACGUG
This 366-nucleotide ribosomal RNA is filed under the name uncultured bacterium. RNAcentral describes it as "bacterial SSU rRNA". It matches the Rfam family "Bacterial small subunit ribosomal RNA", at positions 161 to 507 of the family's 1533-position model. The record is from RNAcentral.